Molecule: ribosomal RNA, 440 nt
Filed under: uncultured bacterium
Lineage: Bacteria
Description: partial 16S ribosomal RNA
Rfam family: Bacterial small subunit ribosomal RNA
Source: RNAcentral
CCUACGGGUGGCAGCAGUGGGGAAUAUUGCACAAUGGGGGAAACCCUGAUGCAGCGACGCCGCGUGAAGGCAGAAGUAUUUCGGUAUGUAAACUUCUAUCAGCAGGGAAGAAAAUGACGGUACCUGGCUAAGAAGCCCCGUCUAACUACGUGCCAGCAGCCGCGGUAAUACGUAGGGGGCAAGCGUUAUCCGGAUUUACUGGGUGUAAAGGGAGCGUAGGCGGUGCAGCAAGUCAGAAGUGAAAGCCCGGGGCUCAACUCCGGGAGUGCUUUUGAAACUGUACGGCUGGAGUGCAGGAGAGGUAAGUGGAAUUCCAAGUGUAGCGGUGAAAUGCGUAGAUAUUAGGAGGAACACCAGUGGCGAAGGCGGCUUACUGGACUGUAACUGACGUUGAGGCUCGAAAGCGUGGGGAGCAAACAGGAUUAGAUACCCGGGUAGUC